GUGAAGAACGUAGCGAAAUGCGAUAAGUAAUGUGAAUUGCAGAAUUCAGUGAAUCAUCGAGUCUUUGAACGCACAUUGCGCCCCCUGGUAUUCCGGGGGGCAUGCCUGUCCGAGCGUCAUUGCCGCCCUCAAGCACGGCUUGUGUGUUGGGCCCCCGCCCCCCGGCUUCGGGGGGCGGGCCCGAAAGGCAGCGGCGGCACCGCGUCCGGUCCUCGAGCGUAUGGGGCUUCGUCACCCGCUCUGUAGGCCCGGCCGGCGCCCGCCGGCGACCCCAAUCAAUCUUUCCAGGUUGACCUCGGAUCAGGUAGGGAUACCCGCUGAACUUAAGCAUAUCAAUAAGCGGAGGA
This 347-nucleotide unclassified non-coding RNA is filed under the name soil metagenome. RNAcentral's name for it is "partial contains 5.8S ribosomal RNA, internal transcribed spacer 2, and large subunit ribosomal RNA". The stretch from base 2 to 119 matches the Rfam family "5.8S ribosomal RNA", at positions 37 to 154 of the family's 154-position model. The record is from RNAcentral.